This 516-nucleotide ribosomal RNA is filed under the name uncultured bacterium. RNAcentral's name for it is "partial 16S ribosomal RNA". It matches the Rfam family "Bacterial small subunit ribosomal RNA", at positions 28 to 523 of the family's 1533-position model. The record is from RNAcentral.
GACGAACGCUGGCGGCGUGCCUAAUACAUGCAAGUCGAGCGGACUUUCAUUGGUGCUUGCACCUUUGAAAGUUAGCGGCGGAUGGGUGAGUAACACGUGGGUAACCUACCCUGUAGAUUGGGAUAACUCCGGGAAACCGGGGCUAAUACCGAAUAACACUUUUGAACUCAUGUUCGAAAGUUAAAAGAUGGUUUCGGCUAUCACUACAGGAUGGGCCCGCGGCGCAUUAGCUAGUUGGUGAGGUAACGGCUCACCAAGGCAACGAUGCGUAGCCGGCCUGAGAGGGUGAGCGGCCACACUGGGACUGAGACACGGCCCAGACUCCUACGGGAGGCAGCAGUAGGGAAUCUUCCACAAUGGACGAAAGUCUGAUGGAGCAACGCCGCGUGAGUGAAGAAGGAUUUCGGUUCGUAAAACUCUGUUGCAAGGGAAGAACAAGUAGCGUAGUAACUGGCGCUACCUUGACGGUAUCUGGCCAGAAAGCCACGGCUAACUACGUGCCAGCAGCCGCCGUAA